This 446-nucleotide ribosomal RNA is filed under the name uncultured bacterium. RNAcentral describes it as "partial 16S ribosomal RNA". It matches the Rfam family "Bacterial small subunit ribosomal RNA", at positions 338 to 795 of the family's 1533-position model. The record is from RNAcentral.
CCUACGGGUGGCUGCAGUCGAGAAUCAUUCACAAUGGGGGAAACCCUGAUGGUGCGACGCCGCGUGGGGGAAUGAAGGUCUUCGGAUUGUAAACCCCUGUCAUGUGGGAGCAAAUUAAAAAGAUAGUACCACAAGAGGAAGAGACGGCUAACUCUGUGCCAGCAGCCGCGGUAAUACAGAGGUCUCAAGCGUUGUUCGGAAUCACUGGGCGUAAAGCGUGCGUAGGCUGUUUCGUAAGUCGUGUGUGAAAGGCGCGGGCUCAACCCGCGGACGGCACAUGAUACUGCGAGACUAGAGUAAUGGAGGGGGAACCGGAAUUCUCGGUGUAGCAGUGAAAUGCGUAGAUAUCGAGAGGAACACUCGUGGCGAAGGCGGGUUCCUGGACAUUAACUGACGCUGAGGCACGAAGGCCAGGGGAGCGAGAGGGAUUAGAUACCCGGGUAGUC